RNAcentral lists this ribosomal RNA (2913 nucleotides) under Pseudomonas gingeri. RNAcentral's name for it is "23S ribosomal RNA". It matches the Rfam family "Bacterial large subunit ribosomal RNA". The record is from RNAcentral. Lineage: Bacteria; Pseudomonadati; Pseudomonadota; Gammaproteobacteria; Pseudomonadales; Pseudomonadaceae.
GUUAUAUGGUCAAGUGAAGAAGCGCAUACGGUGGAUGCCUUGGCAGUCAGAGGCGAUGAAAGACGUGGUAGCCUGCGAAAAGCUUCGGGGAGUCGGCAAACAGACUUUGAUCCGGAGAUGUCUGAAUGGGGGAACCCAGCCAUCAUAAGAUGGUUAUCUUGUACUGAAUACAUAGGUGCAAGAGGCGAACCAGGGGAACUGAAACAUCUAAGUACCCUGAGGAAAAGAAAUCAACCGAGAUUCCCUUAGUAGUGGCGAGCGAACGGGGACUAGCCCUUAAGUGGCUUUGAGAUUAGCGGAACGCUCUGGAAAGUGCGGCCAUAGUGGGUGAUAGCCCUGUACGCGAAAAUCUCUUAGUCAUGAAAUCGAGUAGGACGGGGCACGAGAAACCUUGUCUGAAUAUGGGGGGACCAUCCUCCAAGGCUAAAUACUACUGACUGACCGAUAGUGAACUAGUACCGUGAGGGAAAGGCGAAAAGAACCCCGGAGAGGGGAGUGAAAUAGAUCCUGAAACCGUAUGCGUACAAGCAGUGGGAGCCCACUUUGUUGGGUGACUGCGUACCUUUUGUAUAAUGGGUCAGCGACUUAUUUUCAGUGGCGAGCUUAACCGAAUAGGGGAGGCGUAGCGAAAGCGAGUCUUAAUAGGGCGUCUAGUCGCUGGGAAUAGACCCGAAACCGGGCGAUCUAUCCAUGGGCAGGUUGAAGGUUAGGUAACACUGACUGGAGGACCGAACCGACUACCGUUGAAAAGUUAGCGGAUGACCUGUGGAUCGGAGUGAAAGGCUAAUCAAGCUCGGAGAUAGCUGGUUCUCCUCGAAAGCUAUUUAGGUAGCGCCUCAUGUAUCACUGUAGGGGGUAGAGCACUGUUUCGGCUAGGGGGUCAUCCCGACUUACCAAACCGAUGCAAACUCCGAAUACCUACAAGUGCCGAGCAUGGGAGACACACGGCGGGUGCUAACGUCCGUCGUGAAAAGGGAAACAACCCAGACCGUCAGCUAAGGUCCCAAAGUCAUGGUUAAGUGGGAAACGAUGUGGGAAGGCUUAGACAGCUAGGAGGUUGGCUUAGAAGCAGCCACCCUUUAAAGAAAGCGUAAUAGCUCACUAGUCGAGUCGGCCUGCGCGGAAGAUGUAACGGGGCUCAAACCAUGCACCGAAGCUACGGGUAUCACUUAGGUGAUGCGGUAGAGGAGCGUUCUGUAAGCCUGUGAAGGUGAGUUGAGAAGCUUGCUGGAGGUAUCAGAAGUGCGAAUGCUGACAUGAGUAACGACAAUGGGUGUGAAAAACACCCACGCCGAAAGACCAAGGUUUCCUGCGCAACGUUAAUCGACGCAGGGUUAGUCGGUCCCUAAGGCGAGGCUGAAAAGCGUAGUCGAUGGAAAACAGGUUAAUAUUCCUGUACUUCUGGUUAUUGCGAUGGAGGGACGGAGAAGGCUAGGCCAGCUUGGCGUUGGUUGUCCAAGUUUAAGGUGGUAGGCUGAGAUCUUAGGUAAAUCCGGGAUCUUAAGGCCGAGAGCUGAUGACGAGUGUUCUUUUAGAACACGAAGUGGUUGAUGCCAUGCUUCCAAGAAAAGCUUCUAAGCUUCAGGUAACCAGGAACCGUACCCCAAACCGACACAGGUGGUUGGGUAGAGAAUACCAAGGCGCUUGAGAGAACUCGGGUGAAGGAACUAGGCAAAAUGGCACCGUAACUUCGGGAGAAGGUGCGCCGGUGAGGGUGAAGGACUUGCUCCGUAAGCUCAUGCCGGUCGAAGAUACCAGGCCGCUGCGACUGUUUAUUAAAAACACAGCACUCUGCAAACACGAAAGUGGACGUAUAGGGUGUGACGCCUGCCCGGUGCCGGAAGGUUAAUUGAUGGGGUUAGCUAACGCGAAGCUCUUGAUCGAAGCCCCGGUAAACGGCGGCCGUAACUAUAACGGUCCUAAGGUAGCGAAAUUCCUUGUCGGGUAAGUUCCGACCUGCACGAAUGGCGUAACGAUGGCGGCGCUGUCUCCACCCGAGACUCAGUGAAAUUGAAAUCGCUGUGAAGAUGCAGUGUAUCCGCGGCUAGACGGAAAGACCCCGUGAACCUUUACUAUAGCUUUGCACUGGACUUUGAAUUUGCUUGUGUAGGAUAGGUGGGAGGCUUUGAAGCGUGGACGCCAGUUCGCGUGGAGCCAUCCUUGAAAUACCACCCUGGCAACUUUGAGGUUCUAACUCAGGUCCGUUAUCCGGAUCGAGGACAGUGUAUGGUGGGUAGUUUGACUGGGGCGGUCUCCUCCUAAAGAGUAACGGAGGAGUACGAAGGUGCGCUCAGACCGGUCGGAAAUCGGUCGUAGAGUAUAAAGGCAAAAGCGCGCUUGACUGCGAGACAGACACGUCGAGCAGGUACGAAAGUAGGUCUUAGUGAUCCGGUGGUUCUGUAUGGAAGGGCCAUCGCUCAACGGAUAAAAGGUACUCCGGGGAUAACAGGCUGAUACCGCCCAAGAGUUCAUAUCGACGGCGGUGUUUGGCACCUCGAUGUCGGCUCAUCACAUCCUGGGGCUGAAGCCGGUCCCAAGGGUAUGGCUGUUCGCCAUUUAAAGUGGUACGCGAGCUGGGUUUAGAACGUCGUGAGACAGUUCGGUCCCUAUCUGCCGUGGACGUUUGAGAUUUGAGAGGGGCUGCUCCUAGUACGAGAGGACCGGAGUGGACGAACCUCUGGUGUUCCGGUUGUCACGCCAGUGGCAUUGCCGGGUAGCUAUGUUCGGAAAAGAUAACCGCUGAAAGCAUCUAAGCGGGAAACUUGCCUCAAGAUGAGAUCUCACUGGAACCUUGAGUUCCCUGAAGGGCCGUCGAAGACUACGACGUUGAUAGGCAGGGUGUGUAAGCGCUGUGAGGCGUUGAGCUAACCUGUACUAAUUGCCCGUGAGGCUUGACCAUAUAACACCCAAGCA